AACGAACGCUGGCGGCAGGCUUAACACAUGCAAGUCGAGCGCAUCCUUCGGGGUGAGCGGCAGACGGGUGAGUAACGCGUGGGAAUCUACCUUUUGCUACGGAAUAGCUCCGGGAAACUGGAAUUAAUACCGUAUGUGCCCUUAGGGGGAAAGAUUUAUCGGCACGCGAUGAGCCCGCGUUGGAUUAGCUAGUUGGUGGGGUAAAGGCCUACCAAGGCGACGAUCCAUAGCUGGUCUGAGAGGAGGAUCAGCCACAUUGGGACUGAGACACGGCCCAAACGCCUGCGGGCGGCAGCAGAGGGGAAGCUUCCGCAAUGGGCGAGAGCCUGACGGAGCAGCGCCGCGUGAGUGAUGAAGGUCUUCGGAUCGUAAAACUCUGUUAUUAGUGAAGAACAAAUGUGUAAGUAACUAUGCACGUCUUGACGGUACCUAAUAAGAAAGCCACGGCUAACUACGUG
This 458-nucleotide ribosomal RNA is filed under the name uncultured bacterium. RNAcentral describes it as "partial 16S ribosomal RNA". It matches the Rfam family "Bacterial small subunit ribosomal RNA", at positions 29 to 507 of the family's 1533-position model. The record is from RNAcentral.